UCCAAGAAUCCUAACUCAUGUGUGAUAAAACCACUUACUACUUACCGUUAUCCUUUACAGAGAGCUUUGCUGUUUCUUCCAAACUCGAGCCAUUUUUGCCCCACACUGCACAACGGGCAGUGCACUAGCUAACCGCCAAAAAAGAAGAAGAAGAAGCAGAAGAAGAAGAAGAAGAAGAAGCUUGAACGUUGCCCGCGCGGGAGACGUUCUGGUGGAGGCAAACUCAGGUUAGGAUAGUCGAUUGGUCAAUUGACAGGACCUGAACAAAUAAUGGCCAAUAGUAGUGAUUGUAGGGCGGGUCUUGGCGCUACCAUAGUGGGAUUAGUAAUUUCGCUGGAGGUUGAGAAGUGUCCGUUGGUCACUGCUGCUGCAAGUGUUGGCUUUUGCCCCUGCCACGAUGAAAAGGAUGGAGAAAAACAAAGUGCCGGCAAAAAAGAGGCUAUGAGUUCCCACUCAGAAAAUGAAGGACCUGAGCUCCCCUUCCCCAAAUGAGCAAUCUGGAUGUGUUGCAUUUGGCAGAUGGGAGGAUGGUUAUACCGGCAAAAUCUUUAAAGAAUCUGACAUUUUGGCAAGGGAUGAGGCUCCUGUGCAGCUGCAAGAUCCUAGAUCAGGAGAUCCUGUUUUAGCAAAGUGGUCAGAUGGUAUUUCCACCUCCAAUAGUGAGAGGACUUUCACCAUAAAUAUGGGAAUCCAGCAGAGGGCAUCAGAGAACACUAUGAAGAAGAAUCUAUUGGCCACAGCCACGUCUCUGUGCAAUCUGCUCCUCAAGUCUGUGGCAUUGAUGCCGGUUUUAUAGAUGGAGUAGAACAUGCUGGAGUAGGAGAAGGCAAUCACCAGGAACGCCACCAGGUUUAGACCUAAAGGAUACACACACAUACAUAAGUAUUCAAAUCCUUUCCUUAAAUAAAAGUACCAAUACGUCAUUAAAAGUAGGCUUAAUAUCCUGCAUUCAAAAUCUUGCAUUAUUAAAACUAGUAUUAUCACAAAAUAUACUUUAAUAAAUAUAAACAGUAGUACAUAUGCAUUCUGCAGGAAGAAGACCCCUGUGACUGAUAUAUUAUUAUAUGUGACAGUAUUAAAUCGUUAAUACUGAUGAGUCAAUGAGUGAGCAACAUUUUAAUUUUGGAGCAAUCAAGGCCGAGUCAGUUUUGAUUACUUCAUAUACAGUUAGAUAGUUUAGUCCAGUAGUUUCCAACAAGGGUCAAGCCCCCUGCAAAGGGUCCAAAAAUAAAUGUGAGGGGUUGUGGGAUAAUUGUUUCACCAAAGAACAAGAAACAAAAGUUCGGCUUCACAAAUUUGUAUUACUUUUUUGGGACGUAAUGGAUAACUGUACUUCUUUUGUGCCUUAAACAAUUAUAAAUAAAAAACACCAACUCAAACAUCCAAAACGUGACAAGGGCCCCAAAAUAGAUACUGUUUUAUUGUAAAAGGUCACAAGCCAAACAUGUUGGUAAUUUAAUCUUUAACAAUGAAUUGUGAUUCCGCAAGUCCAAGAAUGAUGUGGCUACCAAUACAGCCCAACUUGAAUAUAUUCCCAACCAUUUUGAUGGGGGACAGGAGACGGAGCUUCAGGCCAAACUGCUUUAAUCUUCAUCCACGGCAUGAGUAUUCUGUCAUGAUGGACAUAUUGCUAUGCAUGUAGACAUUUUUUUAUUUUUUAUGGUCCUACCUUUCUUGCACCUGCAAAAUAAAUGUUUAUAUGAUUUUAAAGUAAAAUAAAGAUUAUAAUCUUUGAAUAUCA
Etheostoma spectabile (orangethroat darter) is the source of this 1741-nucleotide long non-coding RNA. RefSeq lists it as uncharacterized. The record is from RefSeq and is a predicted model, not a curated record. Lineage: Eukaryota; Metazoa; Chordata; Actinopteri; Perciformes; Percidae. The transcript is spliced from 4 exons.